UUCGAUUAAGCCAUGCGAGUCGCGAGUCUUAGGGACUCGGCGUACCGCUCAGUAACACGUGGGUAACCUGCCCUAUGCUGGGGAAUAACCUCGGGAAACUGAGAAUAAUGCCCCAUAGUUCACCACGCCUGGAACGGUGGGUGGAUUAAAGCUCCGGCGGCAUAGGAUGGGCCUGCGGCGUAUCAGGUCGUAGGGGGUGUAAUGUACCCUCUAGCCAUCGACGCGUACGGGUGUUGGGAGACAUUGCCCGGAGAUGGAUUCUGAGACACGAAUCCAGACCCUACGGGGUGCAGCAGGCGCGAAAACUUGGCAAUGCGAGAAAUCGUGACCAGGGAACUCCAAGUGCAUCGGGUAAGACCGAUGCUUUUCUUGACUCUUCAACGGUCUUGGAAUAAGGGCUGGGUAAGGACGGUGCCAGCCGCCGCGGUAAUACCGGCGCCUCAAGUGGUAGUCGCUUUUAUUGGGCCUAAAACGUCCGUAGCCGGUUUGGUACAUUCGUGGGUAAAUCAAGGCGCUCAACGUCUUGAAUUCUGCGAGCACGGCCAGACUUGGGACCGGGUGAGGUGUGGGGUACUCUCAGGGUAGGGGUAAAAUCCUGUCAUCCUGAGAGGACCACCUGUUGCGAAGGCGCCACACUAGAACGGAUCCGACGGUCAGGGACGAAGCCUAGGGGCACGAACCGGAUUAGAUACCCGGGUAGUCCUAGGUGUAAACGCUGUGGACUUGAUGUUGGGGGUGCUCCGAGCACCCUCAGUGUCGAAGCGAAGGUGAUAAGUCCACUGCCUGGGGAGUACGGUCGCAAGGCUGAAACUUAAAGGAAUUGGCGGGGGAGCACUGCAACCUGAGGAUUGUGCG
RNAcentral lists this ribosomal RNA (855 nucleotides) under uncultured archaeon. Its description in RNAcentral is "bacterial SSU rRNA". It matches the Rfam family "Archaeal small subunit ribosomal RNA", at positions 39 to 899 of the family's 1478-position model. The record is from RNAcentral.